CCGCCUGCCCAGUGACUCUUUAAACGGCCGCGGUAUCCUAACCGUGCAAAGGUAGCAUAAUCACUUGUCCCCUAAAUAGGGACUAGAAUGAACGGCUAAAUGAGGACAAAACUGUCUCUUACGGAUUAGCCAAUGAAAUUGAUCUUCUAGUACAAAAGCUGGAAUAAACCCAUAAGACGAGAAGACCCUGUGGAGCUUUAAAACCAAAACCACCAAACAUGAUUCUUGGUUUUUUAGUUGGGGCGACUUUGGAGCAAAGAAAACCCUCCAAAACAUAAACCGUUUAUUAAGAAUAACACACCAAAAAUAGCUCUAUAGACCCAGCAACAUUUUUGUUGUCUGAUCAACGAACCAAGUUACCCCAGGGAUAACAGCGCCAUCCUCUUCUAGAGUCCAUAUCGACAAGAGGGUUUACGACCUCGAUGUUGGAUCAGGACACCCCUAUAGUGCAGCCGCUAUAAAAGGUUCGUUUGUUCAACGAUUAAAGUCCUACGUGAU
RNAcentral lists this ribosomal RNA (498 nucleotides) under Podarcis lusitanicus. RNAcentral describes it as "Podarcis guadarramae lusitanicus partial 16S ribosomal RNA". It matches the Rfam family "Bacterial large subunit ribosomal RNA", at positions 1854 to 2604 of the family's 2925-position model. The record is from RNAcentral. Lineage: Eukaryota; Metazoa; Chordata; Lepidosauria; Squamata; Lacertidae.